Molecule: unclassified non-coding RNA, 240 nt
Filed under: soil metagenome
Description: partial contains 5.8S ribosomal RNA, internal transcribed spacer 2, and large subunit ribosomal RNA
Source: RNAcentral
AACGCACGAGACCUGCGGACCUGCGGAAGGAUCAUUAACACAAUGAUAAUCCUAAACUCUUGCGCAUGCCGGCAACGGCGUGCGCAAGAACCACCGAUUGGAAAACGUUAAAGUCUUCCACCAGCAUCCAGCUUCGGCUGACGUGCUUGUGUGGCAAGUACUUUGAGUCUCAUCUCUCGCGUUGCUUGCAGCGCGAGGGCUUGAAACCACACCAAAAGAAAAAAAAACAUCACCUAUCUA